AAAUUAUUCCUCCAAAUGAUGCAAUGGAGACUGAGUUACACAAUUGUUAGAGAAUUAAAACAGACUAUCCCAGAAGGCCACUUGAUUUUCAUAGUGGUUAUUUGGGACAGUGAUGAUGAUUGCAGUAGGUACACAUUUCUAUGAUUCUGUGCUAUCCAUGCAUGUUUUGGCAAUGGAAGUAUGCAGUUUUUAUUUUAAACCCCCUCUUUUUCUUGUUUUGCCUAUCACAGCACAAACUGUUAAAAGAAAUAAUAUCUGAACUCAGUCUCCCUUGUCUGGCAAGCAGAAGCCAGGACUGGGUGCCUCUUCCAGCUUUGCCUUUGGCCUUCUCAGUGAUGAUUUUCGGCAUAUGGCUUCACCUCUAAUGCCUUAAUUCGCCCACCUAUCAAGUGACUGAGAUCUCCAGAUGAAGAUCUUGAGAUAUCUAUGUAAAGAGCCAGGCACUGUCAUUAUCCCAGAUGUUGAGCAAUAAGGAGAAAGUUUAACUGAGCACAAAAUGUGACUCACACAAGCCUAAAUACAUAAAAGGAAGUGUUUAAGAACAGCCCUUGUGAAAAUAGCCCUGAAGAUGCUCUUAUCAGUAUACAGACAGUGCUAAUGGCACUCAAUUGUAUGUUGCUCAGACAUAGCUUUUUCUCUGCUAUCUACUGUACUGCUAUCAGCCACACUGUCUCCUUACAUUGCAUUUGAUAAUCCAUUAAAAACUUAAAAUCCUAGAAUAGAUUGGGUUGGAAGGGACCUUUAAAGGCUGUCUAGUCUAAUCCCCUUGUAAUGAGCAGGGACAUCUUCAACUAGACCAAGUUGCUCAGAGUCCUAGCAAGCCUGACUUAGAAUGUUCCUGGGAAUUAGGGAUACACCACCUCUCUGGGCAACCUGUGCCAGUGCCUCACCAUCCUCACUGUAAAAAAUUCCUUCCUUAUAUCUAAUCUAAAUCAACCUUCUCUUUGUUUAAGACCAUUACCUCUUGUCCUAUUGAAACAGGCCCUGCUAAAACAUUUUCCCCACCUUUCUUAUGAGCUCCCUUCAAGUACUGAAAAGCUGCAAUAAGGUUUCCCUGGAGCCUUUUCUUCUUCAGGGUGAAUACUCCUAGCUCUCAGCCUGUCUUCACAGGGGAGGUGCUGCAGCCUCUGAUCAUCUUCACAGUCUUCUCCGAGCCAGCCCCAACAGGUUGAUGUCCUUCCUGUUCUGGGAUCCCCCAAGCUGAAUGUGGUCCUCCAGAUGGGGUCUCAGCAAAGCAGACUAAAGGCUCCCUUGACCUUCUUCAAAAGCAUAUGUCUGAUUUUGGGGGGUGGCACGUGAUGGUAGAGAGACUUUUAUAAAUUUUAAAAGCAUGAAGCACAAUCAGACAUAAAAGGGCCAGACAAGAUGUAUAAUGCUGGAGCUGUUCUGAGAGUGCCUGUGGAUUUUCAUACCUCAGGGGCUUCCAGACAUGAGAAUGGACAAUGCAGACAGUUUCAGUUCCUCAGGCCUAGCACAAGCCAGCUGUAGUAUUCAGGCAGCUCAGAGUGGAUGUGAGCCUGCCCAUCCAGGAUAUCUGAAGUUUCCUUCCAAAUGAAAGAAUCAGGGUGACAACGGUCACAAGCAGAGAUCCUGUACAAAAGGUAGUCAAAAUA
Molecule: long non-coding RNA, 1613 nt
Organism: Taeniopygia guttata (zebra finch)
Lineage: Eukaryota; Metazoa; Chordata; Aves; Passeriformes; Estrildidae
Source: Ensembl